This 337-nucleotide unclassified non-coding RNA is filed under the name soil metagenome. Its description in RNAcentral is "partial contains 5.8S ribosomal RNA, internal transcribed spacer 2, and large subunit ribosomal RNA". The stretch from base 1 to 120 matches the Rfam family "5.8S ribosomal RNA", at positions 35 to 154 of the family's 154-position model. The record is from RNAcentral.
GAUGAAGAACGCAGCGAAAUGCGAUAAGUAGUGUGCAUUGCAGAAUUCAGUGAAUCAUCGAAUCUUUGAACGCACAUUGCGCCCCUUGGUAUUCCAUGGGGCAUGCCUGUUCGAGCGUCAUUUGUACCUUCAAGCUCUGCUUGGUGUUGGGUGUUUGUCUCGCCUCUGCGCGUAGACUCGCCUCAAAACAAUUGGCAGCCGGCGUAUUGAUUUCGGAGCGCAGUACAUCUCGCGCUUUGCACUCAUAACGACGACGUCCAAAAGUACAUUUUUACACUCUUGACCUCGGAUCAGGUAGGGAUACCCGCUGAACUUAAGCAUAUCAAUAAGCGGAGGA